Molecule: transfer RNA, 83 nt
Filed under: Deltaproteobacteria bacterium
Lineage: Bacteria; Pseudomonadati; Myxococcota; Myxococcia
Description: tRNA-OTHER
Source: RNAcentral
GGAAGGUGAAGUGGCCGCGGGGCCACACCGGUCUCGAAAACCGGGGGCGUUCACGCGCAGGGGUUCGACUCCUCCGCCUUCCG